This 642-nucleotide long non-coding RNA is filed under the name Mytilus galloprovincialis (Mediterranean mussel). Lineage: Eukaryota; Metazoa; Mollusca; Bivalvia; Mytilida; Mytilidae. The record is from RNAcentral.
UGGGUCCUUGUUGGUAUCUGUAUAUGAGUCUGGUGUCUAUUACUCUGUAUGGUCGUCUUUAAGGUGGGCGGGUUCCUCCUGCUGCAUACAGGAUAAUGUUGCAUUUUGUUAGUGCUUUUGUCUUCUUCAGUAGCUCAAUGAUCUCGUAGAUGUUUGGGUGGGCGUGUUUGAGUCGCUUCUUAUGUUUGUUGUGCCAUCCUUCCAGGUGAUUUGUGCAUGGUGCAGGGUCCUUCUGUGUAAUAGUGGUUCCAUAGAAAGCGGUAGUUUUCAACCCAAAACUCUGUCACGUAAUCUGUAAAUGAACUUGUAGCGGGUAUGUUUUCAGUUUCUCUAAUGUCUUCUAAAGUGUUUAGCCAAACAUCGUCAACAAGGUGGGGUGGAACAAGAGGUACCAGUAGUACUGCGGCUCGUCGUAUCAGUUAAGUAAUGUCUUCAUUUUCUUUAUAAUAGGACUGUAGUCCAUAUUUCUGUGCCUUUCGCCAUAUACACUGGGUGAAGUGGAAGAAGCAGCCUUUCACGGUUACCCCUGGACAUACUGUCUGUGUUGUGUUGUUGGUUGCUGUCUCGUAGUCAAUAGAUAGUGUUUCUGGUUGAAGCUGUAACUGGUGUUGUUGAUCAAUGGCUACUGAACAGUUGCAUUUA